GCCCCCUUGAAGAAGCAAAUGUCUCACAGGGUGAAAUAAGGCCAAGUGAGCUGGGCACCGUGGUACACGCCUAUAAUCCCAGCAGCUCCGGAGGCUGAGGCGGAGGAUUGUGAUUUCAAAGCCAGCCUCAGCAACUUUGCAAGGCUGUAAGCAACUUAGUGAGACCCUGACUCUAAAUAAAAUAUAAAAAACGUUAUGGGGAUGUGGCUCAGUUGUGAAGUGUGUCGCUGGGUUCAAUCCAGUACCAAAAAAAAGAAAAAAAGAAAAGGAAGAAAAAAAGAAGACGACUCAAUAAGACCUGGCCAUCCAGAGAGCAGUAGCUGUUGGACUCCACUUCUCAGGAACCUGGAGCUCAGAGAGUUCAGUCAGUGCUACAUCUGGAAAAAUGGUAGUUAGCUUUGAACCUGGCUUGUCCUUAACACAGCUUCAUGAGGUAAGUGUUUUACAUAUUGCUGCUUUGUGAUGAGGAAACUGAGUUACACAGAGGCAGAGUAAUUUUCACAAGGCCCUCUAAUAAGUCUCAGACUCAAGACUCCAAGAUAAACCUGACUCCCACAUUAGU
Molecule: long non-coding RNA, 562 nt
Filed under: Ictidomys tridecemlineatus (thirteen-lined ground squirrel)
Lineage: Eukaryota; Metazoa; Chordata; Mammalia; Rodentia; Sciuridae
Description: lncRNA (ENSSTOG00000031990.1)
Source: RNAcentral